RNAcentral lists this ribosomal RNA (985 nucleotides) under uncultured cyanobacterium. RNAcentral describes it as "bacterial SSU rRNA". It matches the Rfam family "Bacterial small subunit ribosomal RNA", at positions 471 to 1456 of the family's 1533-position model. The record is from RNAcentral. Lineage: Bacteria; Bacillati; Cyanobacteriota.
GACGGUACUUGAGGAAUAAGCCACGGCUAAUUCCGUGCCAGCAGCCGCGGUAAUACGGGAGUGGCAAGCGUUAUCCGGAAUUAUUGGGCGUAAAGCGUCCGCAGGCGGCCUUGUAAGUCUGUCGUUAAAGCGUGGAGCUCAACUCCAUUUCAGCGAUGGAAACUACAAGGCUUGAGUGUGGUAGGGGCAGAGGGAAUUCCCGGUGUAGCGGUGAAAUGCGUAGAUAUCGGGAAGAACACCAGUGGCGAAGGCGCUCUGCUGGGCCAUAACUGACGCUCAUGGACGAAAGCCAGGGGAGCGAAAGGGAUUAGAUACCCCUGUAGUCCUGGCCGUAAACGAUGAACACUAGGUGUCGGGGGAAUCGACCCCCUCGGUGUCGUAGCCAACGCGUUAAGUGUUCCGCCUGGGAGUACGCACGCAAGUGUGAAACUCAAAGGAAUUGACGGGGGCCCGCACAAGCGGUGGAGUAUGUGGUUUAAUUCGAUGCAACGCGAAGAACCUUACCAGGGUUUGACAUCCUGCGAAUCCCUUGGAAACGAGGGAGUGCCUUCGGGAGCGCAGAGACAGGUGGUGCAUGGCUGUCGUCAGCUCGUGUCGUGAGAUGUUGGGUUAAGUCCCGCAACGAGCGCAACCCACGUCUUUAGUUGCCAGCAUUCAGUUGGGCACUCUAGAGAGACCGCCGGUGAUAAACCGGAGGAAGGUGUGGAUGACGUCAAGUCAUCAUGCCCCUUACAUCCUGGGCUACACACGUACUACAAUGCUACGGACAAAGGGCAGCAAGCUCGCGAGAGUAAGCAAAUCCCAUAAACCGUGGCUCAGUUCAGAUCGUAGGCUGCAACUCGCCUACGUGAAGGAGGAAUCGCUAGUAAUCGCAGGUCAGCAUACUGCGGUGAAUACGUUCCCGGGCCUUGUACACACCGCCCGUCACACCAUGGAAGUUGGCCAUGCCCGAAGUCGUUACUCCAACCCUUGUGGAGGAGGACGC